UCAAACUUGGUCAUUUAGAGGAAGUAAAAGUCGUAACAAGGUUUCCGUAGGUGAACCUGCGGAAGGAUCAUUAUUGAAUUUUAAUGAAGAGUUGGUUGUAGCUGGCCCAUUAAAUUGGGCAUGUGCACACCUUCUCUCUCAUCCACACACACCUGUGCACCUGUGAGACAGAUGGGGAAUUUAUUUAUUUAUUUUCUUUGGAGGAGAAAUAAUUAUUGGACCCUCUGUCUACUUAAUUGAUAUAAACUCAGAUCAAUUUUAAAAUGAAUGUAAUGGAUGUAACACAUCUAAUACUAAGUUUCAACAACGGAUCUCUUGGCUCUCGCAUCGAUGAAGAACGCAGC
Molecule: unclassified non-coding RNA, 344 nt
Filed under: uncultured fungus
Lineage: Eukaryota; Fungi
Description: partial contains small subunit ribosomal RNA, internal transcribed spacer 1, and 5.8S ribosomal RNA
Rfam family: Eukaryotic small subunit ribosomal RNA (bases 1-73)
Source: RNAcentral